This 589-nucleotide long non-coding RNA is filed under the name Mus musculus (house mouse). Its description in RNAcentral is "long non-coding RNA chr5:111173467-111174056". Lineage: Eukaryota; Metazoa; Chordata; Mammalia; Rodentia; Muridae. The record is from RNAcentral.
AGCGGGGCAGCAAGGACAAGCAGGGCAGCUGUGUCUACCCAUGGGCCAUGGCAUUCUCACCCUGGAGGAUGCAGAUCCCGGUGCAUCCUGGAUGUUUGUUGAGCGACUGCUGUUGUGUCAGUCAUCCUGCAAGACUGAGUGACAGAGAUGGCCAAGACCACCCCAGCACAAAUGCUGUGUUCCACUGUGUCUCGUGAGAGGUUCCUUGGCAUGUCUCAUUUCUUACUGUGUAAAGUUAAAAAUACUAGUCGUUUUUAGGCCAGCCAGGGCUUCAGAGAGAGGCCCUGCCUCAGAGAGGUACAUUUCCUCGGAAAGGUAGCACUCAAAAAACAAGCAUACCACCCAAAAAAAAAAAAAAAAAAAAAAAAAAAAAAAAAAAGUUUUAAAGUAACAUGAUGAAUAAUUUGAUUAAACUUGUGGUUAGAAAAAUUAUCCAGUCAGGCAGUGGUGGCUCACACCUUUAAUCCUUGUGCUAGGGCAGCAGAGGCAGGUGAAUCUCUGAGUUUGAAGUCAGCCUGGUCUACAAAGUGAGUUCGGGGACAGCCAGGGCUACACAGAGAAACCCUUUCUCAAAACCCAAAACAAACAG